CCGGCCUGGUGGCACAGGGGUUAAGUGCAUGCGUUCCGCUUCGGCGGCCCAGGGUUGGCUGCUUCGGAUCCUGGGUACAAACACGGCACUGCUCAGCAAGCCAUGCUGCGGGAUCAAGUCUUACAGACAAGGUUGACUGGGCUGAGUGAGUCACCGUGAAUCCAGAUUCCCAGGCAACCUCCAAAUCAACAUACAGAUCAGGGCAAAGGCCUGAACCUAAAGGAGGUUGUCUGCCGGGGACACUGACAGUAACCGUGUGGUCAGGAGUCACUGUUUCCUAGCAACCAAAGAAAGCAUCUGUUUCCUGAUGUCUGUGGGCACCAGCCCAAUGAGCGAUGCUCCAGCCGCCUCCAGAAGCAGAGAGAAGACAAAGGCACUGGACUCGGUCUUGGUCGGAAGCUAAGAGAGCCCCUUACUCCCCAGUCAAGGAAUUGAAGAAGGACAAAUGUUUUUCCAACUUACUGAAUUAGCAGAAUGAUAGCACAUGUCAACCUUUAUGGAGCUGUAGAAAGUCAGGGCAGAAAGUGUUGUGGUGAAGUUAACCAGCUCGUCACGUCUCAGACGACACCUGAGGCUGGGGCCAUGAAGGGCCAAGAGACUUGGCGACAGCCACUCCAGUCAGCGAUGGAGUGGACACUGCACCCGGCAUCCGGCCUCCUGGGGUCCGGAGCUUUGCCUUCUCUGGGCCACAAAGCCACCCCUCUGGCUUGCAGCGUCCUCUCCCACUGCUGUCUUGCAGAGAGCAGUAUCACUGUCUUUGCAGUCAGUCCUGUGGGACGGACGCUCCUGCUCUCUCCCCCUCACCUUUCCCAGCUCCCCUCCAAGGCUAAAGCAGAGGGAGCAGCAGCAAGAAUGGUCCAAAAUAAUUAAACUGGUCUGGUGAAGAAUUCGUUUUAAGUCGGUGGCAUCCUGUUGCCUCUGCUUGUUGUUGGAGAGCUGAACCAAAUGAAGUUUAACGUUUAUACGGUACAAUUAAAAAAAGUUUGUAAAGUUUUUUUCCCAAG
This 1004-nucleotide long non-coding RNA is filed under the name Equus asinus (donkey). RNAcentral describes it as "lncRNA (ENSEASG00005030741.1)". The record is from RNAcentral. Lineage: Eukaryota; Metazoa; Chordata; Mammalia; Perissodactyla; Equidae.